CCCGCUGAACUUAAGCAUAUCAAUAAGCGGAGGAAAAGAAACUAACAAGGAUUCCCCUAGUAACUGCGAGUGAAGCGGGACGAGCUCAAAUUUUGAAUCUGGCGGUCUGUGGCCGUCCGAGUUGUAAUCUAGAGAAGUGUUGUCCGCGCUGGACCGUGUACAAGUCUCCUGGAAGGGAGCGUCCUAGAGGGUGAUAAUCCCGUCUCUGACACGGAGUCCCAGUGCUUUGUGACGCGCUCUCGACGAGUCGAGUUGUUUGGGAAUGCAGCUCAAAUUGGGUGGUAAAUUCCAUCUAAAGCUAAACACAGGCGAGAGACCGAUAGCGAACAAGUACCGUGAGGGAAAGAUGAAAAGAACUUUGGAAAGAGAGUUAAACAGUACGUGAAAUUGCUGAAAGGGAAACGCUUGAAGUCAGUCGCGUCGGCUUGGGAUCAGCCUUGCUCUUUUGCUCGGUGUAUUCUCUUGUCGACGGGUCAGCAUCAAUUUUGGUUGCUGGAUAAAGGCUUAGGGAAUGUGGCACCUCUCGGGGUGUGUUAUAGCCCUUUGCUGCAUACAGCGGCUGGGAUUGAGGAACUCAGUACGACCUUCGGGUUUGGGGCUGCGGCCUACAAAUGUACUUAGGAUGCUGGCAUAAUGGCUUUAAUCGACCCGUCUUGAAACACGG
Molecule: ribosomal RNA, 664 nt
Filed under: uncultured fungus
Lineage: Eukaryota; Fungi
Description: eukaryotic LSU rRNA
Rfam family: Eukaryotic large subunit ribosomal RNA
Source: RNAcentral